Molecule: ribosomal RNA, 760 nt
Filed under: Zetaproteobacteria bacterium CG2_30_59_37
Lineage: Bacteria; Pseudomonadati; Pseudomonadota; Candidatius Mariprofundia
Description: bacterial SSU rRNA
Rfam family: Bacterial small subunit ribosomal RNA
Source: RNAcentral
UUCUAUGGAGAGUUUGAUCCUGGCUCAGAACGAACGCUGGCGGCGUGCCUAACACAUGCAAGUCGAACGGUAACAGGACUUUGGUCGCUGACGAGUGGCGCACGGGUGAGUAACGCGUGGGUUACCUGCCCAUAAGUGGGGAACAACUUGGAGAAAUCCAAGCUAAUACCGCAUAAUACCUUCGGGUUAAAGAGGGGGAUCUUCGGACCUCUCGCUUAUGGAUGGUCCCGCGUCUGAUUAGCUAGUUGGUAGGGUAAUGGCCUACCAAGGCAAUGAUCAGUAGCUGGUCUGAGAGGAUGAUCAGUCACACUGGAACUGAGACACGGUCCAGACUCCUACGGGAGGCAGCAGUGGGGAAUUUUGCACAAUGGGCGAAAGCCUGAUGCAGCGACGCCGCGUGCGGGAAGAAGGCCUUCGGGUUGUAAACCGCUUUCAACAGGGAAGAAGGAAUGAGAGCUAAUACCUCUCUGCCUUGACGGUACCUGUAGAAGAAGCACCGGCUAAUUUCGUGCCAGCAGCCGCGGUAAUACGAAAGGUGCAAGCGUUGUUCGGAUUUACUGGGCGUAAAGAGAUCGUAGGUGGCUUGUUAAGUCGGAUGUGAAAUCCCGGGGCUCAACCCCGGAACUGCAUCCGAUACUGGCAGGCUUGAGUUUGGGAGGGGUAAGCGGAAUUCCGUGUGUAGCAGUGAAAUGCGUAGAUAUACGGAGGAACACCUGAGGCGAAGGCGGCUUACUGGACCAAUACUGACACUGAGGAUCGA